Chiloscyllium plagiosum (whitespotted bambooshark) is the source of this 901-nucleotide non-coding RNA. NCBI's taxonomy places the organism in Eukaryota, Metazoa, Chordata, Chondrichthyes, Orectolobiformes, Hemiscylliidae. The record is from RefSeq and is a predicted model, not a curated record.
AAACCUUGAGACCAUUUGUGCUGCUUUGGCCGAGACUGAACGACGUUGUCAAAAGAGAAUACAAAUUCUUGUCCGACAAUUUUGCCAAAGGGAAAACAAUAGUUGAAAAGAUAGAGAGAACCACCAAGGAACAAACCACAUCCUCCAUCCUCAUACCCGAUUGGCAAGUCGAUCCUGAAGACCUUAAAGGAUCAGUGAUUAGGGAAGUAGGAAGCCUGACCACAGUGCAGUGCUGGCAGGUGACCCAAUCAACUUUGAGGGUGGUGCCUAGUUGUGGGUGCUAAACUGCCACCCUGAACCUACCUGCUGGCCCUGGGCCAGAUAGUUUUGCGGAGGGAUGAGGAGGAGGUUUCCUAAAAUACCAUGGGCAUCUUUUCCAGUGAACCUGUCUUGGACAUAAAUCACAAAACACUGUAGCAAUCUGCCUUGGUCCAACCACAUUGACGCGACGGUCAAGAAAACAGAAGAAUGCCUCUACUUCCCCAGGAGGCUAAGAAAAUUCAGCAUGUCCAUAAAGACUCUUACCAGUUUUUAUUGAUGCACUAUUGAAAGCAUUCUAUCGGGAUGUAUCAUGGCUUGGUAUGGCAACUGCUUUACCCAGGACCAUAACAAACUAUGGAAAGUUGUAAACAGGCCAGUCCACCACUUCCAUCCAUUGACUCCACCUAUACUUCUCACUGCCUCAAGAAAGCAGCCAACAUAAUCAAAGACCCUAUCCUACUCAGUUUAUAAUCUCGUUCAACUUUGUCCAUCAGGCAGAAGAUACAAAAGCUGAAACAUACAUACAAACAGAUUUGAGAACACCUUCUUCCUUGUUGUUAUUAGACUUUGGAAUGGACCUCUCAUAUUUUUUAAUUUAAUGUUAAUCUUGUUCUUUGUGCACCUUCUGUGCAGCUGUAAC